Molecule: RNase P RNA, 353 nt
Filed under: Bacteroidota bacterium
Lineage: Bacteria; Pseudomonadati; Bacteroidota
Description: Bacteroidetes bacterium (anaerobic digester metagenome) partial RNase P RNA component class A
Rfam family: Bacterial RNase P class A
About the family: Ribonuclease P (RNase P) is a ubiquitous endoribonuclease, found in archaea, bacteria and eukarya as well as chloroplasts and mitochondria. Its best characterised activity is the generation of mature 5'-ends of tRNAs by cleaving the 5'-leader elements of precursor-tRNAs. Cellular RNase Ps are ribonucleoproteins.
Source: RNAcentral
AAAGUCCGGGCAACACAGAGCAUCCUGCCUCCUGUUAAAGGAGGGUGUAGCUAAAGCGAUGAAGCUAUAACAGAAAGUGCCACAGAGAAAAUAAUUCCACCGGCAAUGUAUUGCAUGGAGGUAAAGGUGAAAACGUGAGGUAAGAGCUUACGGGCAUUUUCAGCAAUGAAAAUGCAAGGUAAACCUCAGGAGUUGAAAGGCAAAAUAAAUCACGAACAGGUAAUGGCUCGUUGCCGUUUGUUCAGCAAUGAACAUCUUCGUGAAGGGUAUGCCGCAAACAGACAAAUGAUAGGGGAUUUGAUUGCUGCAAAGUAUUCAGAUAACAGAAUCCGGCUUACAGGCUUGCUUUUUAU